GCUGGGCGUGGUGGUGCACGCCUUAAUCCCAGCAACCUGGGAAGCUGGUGCAGGAGGAUAGCAAGUUUGAGGCCAGCCUGGGCAACUUAGCAAGGCCCUAAGCAACUUAGCAAGACCCUAUCUCCA
This 126-nucleotide small RNA is filed under the name Marmota monax (woodchuck). Lineage: Eukaryota; Metazoa; Chordata; Mammalia; Rodentia; Sciuridae. The record is from RNAcentral.